AUUUGUAAAGCAGAGAGCGGUUGACUAUAUUCCAGCCCUUCAAGGGAGAAACAUGGAAGACAGGUUCCAUUUGACUGUCUGAUAUCUUUGUAACUGCAGAAGCUGUCUGAAGGAACAACUUGAUUCAGCCCUUUCAUGUUACAGCACAGCAUGCUGCCAACGCGGGAUUCCUUUACAAUCCACUUGAACUUGAGGUCUCCACCCUGAAGAGAGUGUUCACUCAUGGAGCUGUGAAAAAAGAUGAACAGAAAUAGGAAACUCCAUUAUCCUUGAAAGGUCACGUGACUGCAGAAAGCCCAAUCUUGGUGAAAGAAGCAAUCCACAAGGACAAGCUGAGUGUGAGUUGAAAAAUGAAGUUGUUACCAGACAGCAAACUGUGGUCCACACUUCUUAUGAAUAUUUGAAUGAGUAACUAAAAACAGCUCAGUAAACUCUAAGCAACUGUGACAGCUGAAACUGCCUUGAAACCAGGAGUCCUCCAGGACCGUGAUGAAAAUAUCACCAGUUACCUUAUGCCUCAUCCUGCCAGGGGUCUGCAGAGGGACAGUAUCAGAUCUAUUUUACUCAAAUAGAAGUUAUAAAAAAUAUCUGAUUUAUCUUUGCACUUUCAGAAACCAAACAGUUUAAAAAUCUCUUGAGUUAUUUUGAAUUCAUUAAAAUGCAAUAAUUUUUUA
Odocoileus virginianus texanus is the source of this 674-nucleotide non-coding RNA. The record is from RefSeq and is a predicted model, not a curated record. NCBI's taxonomy places the organism in Eukaryota, Metazoa, Chordata, Mammalia, Artiodactyla, Cervidae.